GCCUGGGUGGCUCAGUCGGUUGGGCAUCUGACUUCGGUUCAGGUCAUGAUCUCACAGUCCGUGGGUUCGAGCCCCACGUCGGGCU
This is a transfer RNA of Felis catus (domestic cat), 85 nucleotides long. It matches the Rfam family "tRNA". From Rfam's summary of the family: Transfer RNA (tRNA) molecules are approximately 80 nucleotides in length. Their secondary structure includes four short double-helical elements and three loops (D, anti-codon, and T loops). Further hydrogen bonds mediate the characteristic L-shaped molecular structure. tRNAs have two regions of fundamental functional importance: the anti-codon, which is responsible for specific mRNA codon recognition, and the 3' end, to which the tRNAs corresponding amino acid is attached (by aminoacyl-tRNA synthetases). tRNAs cope with the degeneracy of the genetic code in two manners: having more than one tRNA (with a specific anti-codon) for a particular amino acid; and 'wobble' base-pairing, i.e. permitting non-standard base-pairing at the 3rd anti-codon position. The record is from Rfam. NCBI's taxonomy places the organism in Eukaryota, Metazoa, Chordata, Mammalia, Carnivora, Felidae.